RNAcentral lists this ribosomal RNA (397 nucleotides) under bacterium enrichment culture. RNAcentral describes it as "bacterial SSU rRNA". It matches the Rfam family "Bacterial small subunit ribosomal RNA", at positions 521 to 916 of the family's 1533-position model. The record is from RNAcentral.
UAAUACGUAGGGGGCGAGCGUUGUCCGGAAUGACUGGGCGUAAAGGGCGCGUAGACGGUUGUCUAAGUCUGGAGUGAAAGUCCUGCUUUUAAGGUGGGAAUUGCUUUGGAGACUGGAUGACUUGAGUGCGGAAGAGGUAAGUGGAAUUCCCAGUGUAGCGGUGAAAUGCGUAGAGAUUGGGAAGAACACCAGUGGCGAAGGCGACUUACUGGGCCGUAACUGACGUUGAUGCGCGAAAGCGUGGGGAGCGAACAGGAUUAGAUACCCUGGUAGUCCACGCGGUAAACGAUGAGUGCUAGGUGUAGCGGGUAUCGACCCCUGCUGUGCCGGAGUUAACACAAUAAGCACUCCGCCUGGGGAGUACGGCCGCAAGGUUGAAACUUAAAGGAAUUGACGG